RNAcentral lists this ribosomal RNA (512 nucleotides) under uncultured bacterium. RNAcentral describes it as "bacterial SSU rRNA". It matches the Rfam family "Bacterial small subunit ribosomal RNA", at positions 15 to 518 of the family's 1533-position model. The record is from RNAcentral.
GAUUCUGGCUCAGGAUGAACGCUAGCUACAGGCUUAACACAUGCAAGUCGAGGGGCAGCAUUGGGGUAGCAAUACUCAGAUGGCGACCGGCGCACGGGUGAGUAACACGUAUCCAACCUGCCGCUUACUCGGGGAUAGCCUUUCGAAAGAAAGAUUAAUACCCGAUGGUAUAAAGAGUUCGCAUGUUCUCUUUAUUAAAGAAUUUCGGUAAGCGAUGGGGAUGCGUUCCAUUAGAUAGUUGGCGGGGUAACGGCCCACCAAGUCUACGAUGGAUAGGGGUUCUGAGAGGAAGGUCCCCCACAUUGGAACUGAGACACGGUCCAAACUCCUACGGGAGGCAGCAGUGAGGAAUAUUGGUCAAUGGACGAGAGUCUGAACCAGCCAAAAGUAGCGUGAAGGAUGACUGCCCUAUGGGUUGUAAACUUCUUUUAUAAGGGAAUAAAGUGAGGGACGUGUCCCUUUUUGUAUGUACCUUAUGAAUAAGGAUCGGCUAACUCCGUGCCAGCCGCCGC